UGUGCCAGCCGCUGCGGUUAUACCUGAUGAGAAUUAAAGAUUAUAGUGGUUUAUAGUUAUACGAUUAAAUUGUAUUAUAAUUUCUUUUAAGAAGGUUUGGAGGUGAAAUUUUGAGUUUUAGUUUAAUAGAGGUUUAAUAUAAUUUAAGUAGAGGCUAUUAAUAUUUAGGUGGAAACUAGGAUUAGAUACCCUAUUAUUCUAAAUGUAGAAAUUUUUACUACUUGAGUAGUAAGCAGAUAUGGUCUUGAAACUUAAAGAAUUUGGCGGCAUUUUAGUCUAGUUAGAGGAAUCUGUACUUUAAACGAUAAUCCGCGAAUUAUCUUACUUUAUUUUGUUUAUCAGUUUAUAUACCGCCAUUGUAAAAUAAUAUUUAAAAAUAUUUGUUGAAAUAGAUUAUAUUUAGUAUAUUAGGUCAAGGUGUAGCCAAUAAUAAAGUAGUUAUGGAUUACAAUAUUAUAAAGAUAUGACGGACAAACUUUUGAAAAAUGUUUUUAAGGUGGAUUUAAUAGUAAAUAUAUUUUAAUAUGUUAUAUUGAUAUCAGCUCUAAAAUGUGUACAUAUCGCCCGUCGCUCUCGUGUUAAAAUGAGAUAAGUCGUAACAAAGUAGGA
Molecule: ribosomal RNA, 609 nt
Filed under: Pliopontonia furtiva
Lineage: Eukaryota; Metazoa; Arthropoda; Malacostraca; Decapoda; Palaemonidae
Description: partial 12S ribosomal RNA
Source: RNAcentral